GACAUGACGUGUGGCUGUCGUAAAAACCCUAUUUGUAAACAACCAGCCCUUUAACUCGGGGCUGCGUCAUAAACACGGCGCGCUUGGAAGACCACGAUGUCAUCUUCCUUCUGUCAGGAGGAUCCAAGUGAAGCUACAGGAGUUUCAUUAACGUCAACAACUUGGACCAAACAGUUUGUUUUGCUUGAUGAAGAGCAGGAAGGGCAGCCUGGAGAGAAAGAGAAGCCGGGUUGAGCCCACUACCAUCAUCCACGUACCACGAGGAAGAUGAGGGAGAGAAAUGAUCCUACCAUUAAAGAGGUACUUUUAAGUUACAUACCAGAAAAAACAUUUGAUAUAAUUUGCCAAAUAUACAUUUUUAUUAAAUCCCCAAAGUACACUUGCUGAAAUACAAGUUAAUAUCACACUGAAAGAAUUUUGAUCAAUCAUGCUUCCCUGCUGUGAUUGUUUAACUAGGAAAACAACUUUUUCCACAGGAAGGCAAGUAAAUUUAAGGAAUACAUGUGCAAAGUUUUCCUCUGUUAUGUAUAAUGAUGACCCCCAUCAAACAUAAUGUUAGCAAUAUUUACACCUUUUAAUUUAUACUGUUUAUUUCUGUCUACAUGUGUGAAUUUGCCUUCAUUAGUUUCAGAAAAGAGCGAUGAUGUAUCGGUCAGUGGGCGGCAGCACGAGACUCCGCAAACUAGUCUGUAAGCAAAGCAGACGAAGGCAUCGAGGUUGCGGCCUGCCAUCAUUGUUAUUUUGCUUAAGGGACUGAAUAUGUUUCAUGUAGAAAUAUUAGCAUUUCCCUUAUAUCUACCAAAACUGCUUGUUUCACAGACUGCAGUUUUGUUUUGAUCCGAUGUGGUGUGCAAAUACAACCGUAUCUGCAAUGGGUUGUGGGGCAUUAACAUUUGUAACUCUAAUUUUGUUUUGACAGACUGUGAAAAGAACGUUGAGAACAUCACCACUCUACAGGAAGACACAGUCCAGUAAUGGGUGUCAGAAGUUCAGUAGUGAACGACAG
Pleuronectes platessa (European plaice) is the source of this 1006-nucleotide long non-coding RNA. RefSeq lists it as uncharacterized. The transcript is spliced from 2 exons. The record is from RefSeq and is a predicted model, not a curated record. NCBI's taxonomy places the organism in Eukaryota, Metazoa, Chordata, Actinopteri, Pleuronectiformes, Pleuronectidae.